UACGGGGGGGGCAAGCGUUGUUCGGAAUUACUGGGCGUAAAGGGCUCGUAGGCGGCCAACUAAGUCAGACGUGAAGUCCCUCGGCUUAACCGGGGAACUGCAUCUGAUACUGGAUGGCUUGAGUUCGGGAGAGGGAUGCGGAAUUCCAGGUGUAGCGGUGAAAUGCGUAGAUAUCUGGAGGAACACCGGUGGCGAAGGCGGCAUCCUGGACCGACACUGACGCUGAGGAGCGAAAUCCAGGGGAGCAAACGGG
Molecule: ribosomal RNA, 253 nt
Filed under: uncultured bacterium
Lineage: Bacteria
Description: partial 16S ribosomal RNA
Rfam family: Bacterial small subunit ribosomal RNA
Source: RNAcentral